This 434-nucleotide ribosomal RNA is filed under the name uncultured bacterium. RNAcentral describes it as "partial 16S ribosomal RNA". It matches the Rfam family "Bacterial small subunit ribosomal RNA", at positions 29 to 507 of the family's 1533-position model. The record is from RNAcentral.
AGCGAACGCUGGCGGCAGGCCUAACACAUGCAAGUCGAACGAACCUUUCGGGGUUAGUGGCGGACGGGUGAGUAACACGUGGGAACGUGCCUUUAGGUUCGGAAUAACUCAGGGAAACUUGUGCUAAUACCGAAUGUGCCCUUCGGGGGAAAGAUUAAUCGCCUUUAGAGCGGCCCGCGUCUGAUUAGCUAGUUGGUUGAGGUAAUGGCUCACCAAGGCGACGAUCAGUAGCUGGUCUGAGAGGAUGAUCAGCCACAUUGGGACUGAGACACGGCCCAAACUCCUACGGGAAGCAGCAGUGGGGAAUCUUGCGCAAUGGACGAAAGCCUGACGCAGCCAUGCCGCGUGAAUGAUGAAGGUCUUAGGAUUGUAAAAUUCUUUCACCGGGGACGAUAAUGACGGUACCCGGAGAAGAAGCCCCGGCUAACUUCGUG